Long non-coding RNA from Lycium barbarum (goji berry), 750 nucleotides. RefSeq lists it as uncharacterized. NCBI's taxonomy places the organism in Eukaryota, Viridiplantae, Streptophyta, Magnoliopsida, Solanales, Solanaceae. The transcript has 3 exons. The record is from RefSeq and is a predicted model, not a curated record.
AGAAUAUGAUUUCAUUUUGGUGUAGCUAUACCAAACGUAGCUAGUAGCCCUUAAUAGUUUCUUUUGUCUAGUCAACUCACUCAUUUAUUAGUUAAUACAUAGGAUUUUAUUGCUAUUUGACGUAUCAACACCAAAAUGUGACUAGCAGCCCUUGAGAAUCUCUUCUGACGAGUGAAAUUAUGAAGAAUUCGUGUAAGUAACAACAACCUGCUCUUGGGAAUUCAUUUCUUUGAAGGAAGAAAAACAUUAUUUCCAACAAUAUUAUGGAAGCAGCAACGUGAAUUAAUGUAGCAGCAACGUGAUUUCCUUUUUAAGGAAGAAAAGUAUACUGCAUUUCAAGAACAAUAUUCGGGUUUUGCUCACCGCUUCGAUCUCGUUGUUUAUGUUGUUAAAUUCGGGCUUCCUUCGAAAUGAAGUAAGGUGGAAGAAGAGUACUUAUUUGCAUAUAAGACCUGCGAGCUCGAGAAGUAGACGUUGGACAUUAGAUAGAGUUCAAGGUAGAUAGGGAGGUGAGCUUGAUCCAGAUUCUUAGUAGUUGUCAGCUGAUUGAGAGCACUCCAUUGUUCGGAGGUGCUUAUGUUUAUUCUUUUGGCUCCUUUAUGUAUUUCGCGCACGACAGAGUCUUGUUCCGUCUAUAUGUAUAAUAUGUCAGUAGAGGCUCAUAGACGCGCAGUGUGGGUUAGAUGGUCUCACAAGAUUACUAUGUUAUAUUUGUAUAUGUUAUUUUGAUGGCCUAAGGGGCACAUGUAU